AACGAACGCUGGCGGUAGGCCUAACACAUGCAAGUCGAACGGAAGCACAGUAAGAGCUUGCUCUUACGGGUGGGGAGUGGCGGGCGGGUGACGAAUACAUCGGGAUCUACUCUUUCGUGGGGGAUAACGUAGGGAAAGUUACGCUAGUACCGCAUACGCCCUACCGGGGAAAGGGGGGGAACUUCGGACCUUGCGCGAUUGGAUGAGCCGAUGUCGGGUUAGCUAGUUGGCGGGGGAAUGGCCCACCAAGGCGCCGAUCCGUAGCUGGUCUGAGAGGAUGAUCACCCACACUGGAACUGAGACACGGUCCCUACUCCUGCGGUAGGCCGCAGUGGGGAAUCUUAGGCAAUGGGGGCGAGCCUGAUACAGCCAUACCGCGUGGGUGAAGAAGGCGUUCGGGUUGUAAAGACCUUUUGUUGGUAGAGAAAAGCAGCAGGUUAAGACGCCGCGGUUCUGACGGUACCCGAAGAAGAAGCACCGGCUAACUUCGUG
This 492-nucleotide ribosomal RNA is filed under the name uncultured bacterium. Its description in RNAcentral is "partial 16S ribosomal RNA". It matches the Rfam family "Bacterial small subunit ribosomal RNA", at positions 29 to 507 of the family's 1533-position model. The record is from RNAcentral.